GACGAACGCUGGCGGCGUGCUUAACACAUGCAAGUCGAACGGAAAGGCCCUUCGGGGUACUCGAGUGGCGAACGGGUGAGUAACACGUGGGUGAUCUGCCCUGCACUUUGGGAUAAGCCUGGGAAACUGGGUCUAAUACCGAAUAGGACCACGCGCUUCAUGGUGUGUGGUGGAAAGCUUUUGCGGUGUGGGAUGGGCCCGCGGCCUAUCAGCUUGUUGGUGGGGUAAUGGCCUACCAAGGCGACGACGGGUAGCCGGCCUGAGAGGGUGACCGGCCACACUGGGACUGAGAUACGGCCCAGACUCCUACGGGAGGCAGCAGUGGGGAAUAUUGCACAAUGGGCGCAAGCCUGAUGCAGCGACGCCGCGUGAGGGAUGACGGCCUUCGGGUUGUAAACCUCUUUCAAUAGGGACGAAGCGCAAGUGACGGUACCUAUAGAAGAAGCACCGGCCAACUACGUGCCAGCAGCCGCGGUAAUACGUAGGGUGCGAGCGUUGUCCGGAAUUACUGGGCGUAAAGAGCUCGUAGGUGGUUUGUCGCGUUGUUCGUGAAAACUCACAGCUUAACUGUGGGCGUGCGGGCGAUACGGGCAGACUAGAGUACUGCAGGGGAGACUGGAAUUCCUGGUGUAGCGGUGGAAUGCGCAGAUAUCAGGAGGAACACCGGUGGCGAAGGCGGGUCUCUGGGCAGUAACUGACGCUGAGGAGCGAAAGCGUGGGGAGCGAACAGGAUUAGAUACCCUGGUAGUCCACGCCGUAAACGGUGGGUACUAGGUGUGGGUUCCUUCCUUGGGAUCCGUGCCGUAGCUAACGCAUUAAGUACCCCGCCUGGGGAGUACGGCCGCAAGGCUAAAACUCAAAGGAAUUGACGGGGGCCCGCACAAGCGGCGGAGUAUGUGGAUUAAUUCGAUGCAACGCGGAGAACCUUACCUGGGUUUGACAUGCACAGGACGCCGGCAGAGAUGUCGGUUCCCUUGUGGCCUGUGUGCAGGUGGUGCAUGGCUGUCGUCAGCUCGUGUCGUGAGAUGUUGGGUUAAGUCCCGCAACGAGCGCAACCCUUGUCCUAUGUUGCCAGCGGGUUAUGCCGGGGACUCGUAGGAGACUGCCGGGGUCAACUCGGAGGAAGGUGGGGAUGACGUCAAGUCAUCAUGCCCCUUAUGUCCAGGGCUUCACACAUGCUACAAUGGCCGGUACAAAGGGCUGCGAUGCCGUGAGGUGGAGCGAAUCCUUUCAAAGCCGGUCUCAGUUCGGAUCGGGGUCUGCAACUCGACCCCGUGAAGUCGGAGUCGCUAGUAAUCGCAGAUCAGCAACGCUGCGGUGAAUACGUUCCCGGGCCU
This 1337-nucleotide ribosomal RNA is filed under the name uncultured bacterium. RNAcentral describes it as "bacterial SSU rRNA". It matches the Rfam family "Bacterial small subunit ribosomal RNA", at positions 28 to 1381 of the family's 1533-position model. The record is from RNAcentral.